RNAcentral lists this ribosomal RNA (253 nucleotides) under uncultured bacterium. RNAcentral describes it as "partial 16S ribosomal RNA". It matches the Rfam family "Bacterial small subunit ribosomal RNA", at positions 524 to 776 of the family's 1533-position model. The record is from RNAcentral. RNAcentral also lists the same sequence under 1 other name.
UACGAAGGGUGCAAACGUUGCUCGGAAUCAUUGGGCGUAAAGCGCACGUAGGCGGCUCCAAAAGUCGGAUGUGAAAUCCCUGGGCUCAACCGAGGAAGUGCAUCCGAAACUGCGGAGCUUGAGUAUGGAAGAGGGUCGCGGAAUUCCCGGUGUAGAGGUGAAAUUCGUAGAUAUCGGGAGGAACACCAGUGGCGAAGGCGGCGACCUGGGCCAAUACUGACGCUGAGGUGCGAAAGCGUGGGGAGCAAACAGG